This 253-nucleotide ribosomal RNA is filed under the name uncultured prokaryote. RNAcentral's name for it is "partial 16S ribosomal RNA". It matches the Rfam family "Bacterial small subunit ribosomal RNA", at positions 524 to 776 of the family's 1533-position model. The record is from RNAcentral.
UACAGAGGGCGCGAGCGUUGUCCGGAAUCACUGGGCGUAAAGGGCGCGUAGGUGGCUGGCAAAGCGUGCGGUGAAAGCCCGGGGCUCAACUCCGGAACUGCCUUUAAGACUGCAUCGCUAGAAUUGUGGAGAGGUAAGUGGAAUUCCGAGUGUAGAGGUGAAAUUCGUAGAUAUUCGGAAGAACACCAGUGGCGAAGGCGACUUACUGGACACAUAUUGACGCUGAGGUGCGAAAGCGUGGGGAGCAAACAGG